RNAcentral lists this long non-coding RNA (1652 nucleotides) under Dromaius novaehollandiae (emu). RNAcentral's name for it is "lncRNA (ENSDNVG00000005302.1)". Lineage: Eukaryota; Metazoa; Chordata; Aves; Casuariiformes; Dromaiidae. The record is from RNAcentral.
AAAAUUAAAUGUGAACUUGCAGGAGUGGCUGCAAAGAGGCUCUGCUGGAGCUGGAUCCAUCCAAAUCGGGGCCUGCUCCUCUUUUUGCAAAUCAUGAGUUUGUCCCAGUAAAAUAGCAAGCAAUUGUGCAGGACACAAGCAUAGCCCAGGCCUUAGCUGCAUCUCCCAUCCCCCUUAGCAGGGUCCACUGACCCUGCUUUGCAGCUAUCUGAUUUAGACUACGUGUGCCAAUGCAAAGUAGAAGAACAAGCCCAAAUCCUGAAGUGUAACAAGGAAGAGAACUGAAUAAGCCUAUGAACUGAUGGUGUCUUUUAGGUUGUAUUCUGAACUCGGGAAUUGCUGGUUCAGAAAAGACCUCUCCUUGAAUUGUCUGUGUUUUGUUAAAUUAACACUUUAACUUCCUCAACAGCAAAGCUCUUUCCUUGAAAUGCACAAUAUCUAUUUGUUAUUCUCAGUUCACAUUUAAUGUUCAAGAGUUCCAGUACAAAUUUCACCUACCUCCAACUUCUUUCCGUCCUGCUCAUUAAAUUUGUACUGAUUCAGCUAAUAUAGCUAGGAGGAAUCAUACUGUGACAAGAGAAGUUGUCAUCCUGUUACCUGAUAUUUUCAGCAUGUGCCCAUUUCCAUUUGGAAAGCUUGCUUGAAGUUGCAUGCUGGAAGAUAUGUAUGCUGUUGACAGAGUGUAGUUAAAAGGAGGAAUGACCUCUUAUAGAGGGUCGCUAACCUGGAUUUGCUUUGAAAAAAGUCUAGGCAGAGCCUGAGGCAGACUGACUCAGGCAGCCGUUCCCAGCCUGGAGCGCUGCCUGGGAAGAUGUCUUCAUGAGACCUUUAUUCCAUACCUGGAUGGGAAGGGGUGUGAGCCUGUGUACACCCAGUUUUAUACGGCAGUGUGUGCUUUUCUGCAGACUUCCUUUUCAGUUCAAAUAGGAUGAGGUAGAAACAUACCUAUUUUCCUCUUUUCAGGAAUUAAUCGAAGAGAAGUGACCAUCCAUAUGGUGCAGCAGUUGCAAGCCAAGCCACACAGUGGGGCUCUAACUGCGGUGAACAAGACUGGUGGCACCAGGAGCACCACCACUCACCAGCCUCUGGCAGGAGGAGGCCAGCCUCCAAAUCCCAGAGGCUAAGAAGAUCUAAAGUGAGUUUAAGGAAACUCCUGUUGGGACAGGUAACUGAGUAACCUCACAGCAAAAUGAUAUUACUAAAAAGUGGAGCAGCCCUUUGUUAGUCCUUCUCCUUUCCCAUUACAACCAGUUCAUGUUUUUUAGGGAUGGGGCACCUGAGAUUUCUGACCUCUAGUUUGACUUCACAGCAGCUCUGGAGUUUUCACAAAGUAGAUUAUUCCUCCUCACUAAAAUGUCCCUGAAGACCUUUGCAGGACUGUUGAGAAGCCCCUUUAUCUUCACAACCUGUAAGUCUACAGGAGAAUUUCAGACAUUUUGACCUUGCACCAAAGAAAUGGGAGAUGCAAAAUGAAUUGCACUUCAUAUUGGUUCUCAAUGCAGAUAAGAUGAAAUGAAACAAGUAUGUUUGUAGAAGGGAAAGAAUACCUGAUAAUUUUUAUACGCUAACAAACCUGUAACUUGGAUUCUAAGCACUGAAUUUAAAAAUACAGUAAAGUACAAAAAUACAAUAAAAUACAGUAACAGAAAGCA